UUGUCUCUGUUUUCUUUCUUUUCUUUUCUUUUCUUUUCUUUUCUUGAUGGUCUCUCCUUGGAAAGUGAUGAAUAUUGUGGCCAAAUUUGGUAUGAUUUGGCCCAGUGGUUUUGUUGUUAACUCAGUCCUAAUUACACACAUUACAUUUAUUUAUAUAUAUAUAUAUAUAUAUAUAUAUAUAUAUAUAUAUAUAUAUAUAUGAGAGUGUGUAUAUAUAUGUGUGUGUGUGUGUAUGCUAUAUAUAUGCAUGCUCUGUCUCUUUCUCCUUUGCCAAGUGGCUUUCUCAAUUGCCUCUUAAGGCUGCCUUGGAACAGUGUAAACGGAGAAGGUCAUAGUAAAUCAAAGGACAUCAUCUGCCUGUUCAAAACGCUAUUAACGGGGAAAGCAGUCUGAACAGUGCAUUACGGCCCCAAGGUCACCUGGGAAACCACCGGGCCUCACUGGUUACCCCCGUAACAGCUUGCAAACAACUUGAUUAGCUGCAAUAACCCUUGUGCCCUUGCGACUGGACUUGAUGGAAAGUCAGGUGUCUCCGUAGACUGCUAAGUUGAAACUGGCCCCUCUGUCUGCAUGUGUAUGUCUCUGUGUGUGUGUUGCUCCUUUCUUUCUCUUCAUCACACAAACAGCAUAAAAAUACCAGGGAAUUCAGAUGUAAUAUCAAGAGCCCAAUAGAGCUAGCAGGCAGGAAGACUGAGCUGUGAAGCACCAAAAUGCCAGUUCAAACAAUGUUUCUGCCCUGAAUUGUCGGAAGCCUUAGGAAAGUCCCAUUUUCUGACAUAAGAUAUUCCUAAUGAAGACUUCUGGAUUGAAAAGUGGUGCUCCUAUGCUUCCAAUGGGGAAAAUUCCAGCCUUGUUAAGGCUGGCCAUGAUUAGGUUUCAAAAAUGGAGAGUUUUCCUGUAUCUUUAAGGGCUCCGAAGAUGGGUUUCAGCAAAUAUUAUUUGCCGAAACACUUUCUUAAAGAUGCAAAAGCUAACUUAAAGGUAAAUGCAGCCAGUAACAGGAAACACUUUCUUAAAGGUGCAAAAGCGAACUUAAAGGUAAAUGCAGCCAGUAACAGGAAACACUUUCUUAAAGGUACAAG
RNAcentral lists this long non-coding RNA (1082 nucleotides) under Anolis carolinensis (green anole). RNAcentral's name for it is "lncRNA (ENSACAG00000038506.1)". Lineage: Eukaryota; Metazoa; Chordata; Lepidosauria; Squamata; Anolidae. The record is from RNAcentral.